RNAcentral lists this ribosomal RNA (834 nucleotides) under uncultured archaeon. RNAcentral describes it as "bacterial SSU rRNA". It matches the Rfam family "Archaeal small subunit ribosomal RNA", at positions 21 to 859 of the family's 1478-position model. RNAcentral also lists the same sequence under 1 other name. The record is from RNAcentral.
AGGUCACUGCUAUCGGUGUUCGAUUAAGCCAUGCGAGUCGUGAGGGGUAAAGCCCUCGGCGGAGUGCUCAGUAACACGUGGACAACCUACCCAAGAGUCAGGGAUAACCCCGGGAAACUGGGGAUAAUACCUGAUAGGCCAUGACAUCUGGAAUCGAGUUGUGGUUUAAACGUAAGGCUCUUGGAUGGGUCUGCGGCGGAUUAGGUUGUUGCCGGUGUAACGUACCAGCAAGCCUGUAAUCCGUACGGGUUGUGGGAGCAAGAGCCCGGAGAUGGAUUCUGAGACACGAAUCCAGGCCCUACGGGGCGCAGCAGGCGCGAAAACUCUACAAUGCAGGCAACUGCGAUAGGGGAACAUCGAGUGGCAUCCACCAUGGAUGUCUGUCCAAUCGUCUAAAAAACGAUUGUCAGCAAGGGCCGGGCAAGACCGGUGCCAGCCGCCGCGGUAAUACCGGCGGCUCGAGUGGUGGCCGAUAUUAUUGAGUCUAAAGGGUCCGUAGCCGGCUUUGCAAGUCCUAUGGGAAAUCCAGCGGCUUAACCGUUGGGCUUUCAUGGGAUACUACAUUGCUUGGGACUGGGAGAGGUAGGAGGUACUCAGGGGGUAGGGGUGAAAUCCUGUAAUCCUUUGGGGACCACCGGUGGCGAAGGCGUCCUACCAGAACAGGUCCGACGGUGAGGGACGAAAGCUAGGGGCACGAACCGGAUUAGAUACCCGGGUAGUCCUAGCCGUAAACGAUGCUCGCUAGGUGUCACGGCAGUCGUGAAUUGUCGUGGUGCCGUAGGGAAGCCGUGAAGCGAGCCACUUGGGAAGUACGACCGCAAGGUUGAAACUUAA